Molecule: ribosomal RNA, 548 nt
Filed under: uncultured Gemmatimonadota bacterium
Lineage: Bacteria; Pseudomonadati; Gemmatimonadota
Description: bacterial SSU rRNA
Rfam family: Bacterial small subunit ribosomal RNA
Source: RNAcentral
CCUACGGGAGGCAGCAGUGGGGAAUAUUGCGCAAUGGGCGAAAGCCUGACGCAGCGACGCCGCGUGGGGGAGGAAGGCCUCAGGGUUGUAAACCCCUGUCAGGCGGGACGAACUACUUGUCGGUCAAUACCCGGCAAGCUUGACGGUACCGCCAGAGGAAGCUCCGGCUAACUCCGUGCCAGCAGCCGCGGUAAUACGGAGGGAGCGAGCGUUGUUCGGAAUUACUGGGCGUAAAGGGGGCGUAGGCGGCCUUGUAAGUCAGGUGUGAAAUGCCGGGGCUCAACUCCGUGCACUGCACCUGAUACUGCUUGGCUAGAGAGAGGUAGAGGCGAGCGGAAUUCCCGGUGUAGCGGUGGAAUGCGUAGAUAUCGGGAGGAACAUCUGCGGCGAAGGCGGCUCGCUGGGCCUUUUCUGACGCUGAAGCGCGAAAGCGUGGGUAGCAAACAGGAUUAGAUACCCUGGUAGUCCACGCUGUAAACGAUGGGCACUAGGUGUCGGUAGGCUUGGUCCUUUCGGCACCGUAGCUAACGCAUUAAGUGCCCCGCCUG